CCUACGGGGGGCAGCAGUGAGGAAUAUUGGUCAAUGGACGAGAGUCUGAACCAGCCAAGUAGCGUGAAGGAUGACUGCCCUAUGGGUUGUAAACUUCUUUUAUAUGGGAAUAAAAUGCUCCACGUGUGGGAUUUUGUAUGUACCAUAUGAAUAAGGAUCGGCUAACUCCGUGCCAGCAGCCGCGGUAAUACGGAGGAUCCGAGCGUUAUCCGGAUUUAUUGGGUUUAAAGGGAGCGUAGGUGGAUUGUUAAGUCAGUUGUGAAAGUUUGCGGCUCAACCGUAAAAUUGCAGUUGACACUGGCAGUCUUGAGUACAGUAGAGGUGGGCGGAAUUCGUGGUGUAGCGGUGAAAUGCUUAGAUAUCACGAAGAACUCCGAUUGCGAAGGCAGUUCACUGGACUGCAACUGACACUGAGGCUCGAAAGUGUGGGUAUCAAACAGGAUUAGAUACCCUUGUAGUC
This 460-nucleotide ribosomal RNA is filed under the name uncultured bacterium. Its description in RNAcentral is "partial 16S ribosomal RNA". It matches the Rfam family "Bacterial small subunit ribosomal RNA", at positions 338 to 795 of the family's 1533-position model. The record is from RNAcentral.